Molecule: unclassified non-coding RNA, 232 nt
Filed under: Ambisporaceae sp.
Lineage: Eukaryota; Fungi; Glomeromycota; Glomeromycetes; Archaeosporales; Ambisporaceae
Description: partial contains 5.8S ribosomal RNA and internal transcribed spacer 2
Rfam family: 5.8S ribosomal RNA (bases 1-71)
Source: RNAcentral
GUGAAUCAUCAAAUUUUUGAACGCAUAUUGCACUCUCUGGUAUUCCGGAGAGUAUGCCUAUUUGAGGGUCAUUUGAAAUAAUAUAUAUUUUGAGAGUCUCUUGGAAUCAAAAAUGGGACGGUCCAGCAUUCGUGUGGUGGUCGCCUAAAAUGCAAGAUAAGCUUAUUUUUUGGGUUGUGUGAUACGUUCAGUUAUUUUGUGUUUUUACAUGCUUUAUUCGAGCGUGUUAGGA